UCCGUAGGUGAACCUGCGGAAGAAUCAUUAUUGAAGAUGAAUGGUAGCAUUGAUCAACUGUUGCUGACCCGUUAAAAGGUAUGUGCACGUUCAAAGUGUUGCGUUCUAUUCUUCCACCUGUGCACCUUUGUAGACUUGGUUAAUUUUCGCAAAGGGUUGCUUUCGAGCACUGUUUGUGUACCAAGUCUAUGUCUAUAUAAUCUCUUGUAUGUGUAGAAUGUCUUGUUUAUGGGAUGCAAGUCCUUUAAAUGUUAUACAACUUUCAACAACGGAUCUCUUGGCUCUCGCAUCGAUGAAGAACGCAGCGAAAUGCGAUAACUAAUGUGAAUUGCAGAAUUCAGUGAAUCAUCGAGUCUUUGAACGCACCUUGCGCCCUUUGGUAUUCCRAAGGGCAUGCCUGUUUGAGUGUCAUUAAAUUCUCAACCUCGCCUUCUUUUAGUAGGAGUGCGGCGGAUUGGAUGUGGGGGUUUGCUGGUCUCUAACGAGAUCAGCUCCUCUGAAAUGCAUUAGCAGAAACCGUUUGACUUUGGCUGCUAGGCUGUGAUAAUAUCUACGCCUUGGUAGUUCAGUCGGAAUACGAGUCUGGCUUGGUAUCGGUCUGGAUGGGUGCUUAACGGCUCCAUCUGCUUUCUCCCUCUGGGGAGAUACUUGUCCGAUUCUAUAGUUGCUUAGCGCGAGCUUAGCUUUGGUUGACUUUGUAGAAGGAUUCAGCUUCUAACGGUCCAUUGACUUGGACAAUUUAUUGACUAUUUGACCUCAAAUCAGGUAGGACUACCCGCUGAACUUAAGCAUAUCAAUAAGCGGAGGA
This 808-nucleotide ribosomal RNA is filed under the name Armillaria sp. ICMP 16996. RNAcentral describes it as "eukaryotic LSU rRNA". The stretch from base 258 to 411 matches the Rfam family "5.8S ribosomal RNA". Lineage: Eukaryota; Fungi; Basidiomycota; Agaricomycetes; Agaricales; Physalacriaceae. The record is from RNAcentral.